This 497-nucleotide ribosomal RNA is filed under the name uncultured bacterium. RNAcentral's name for it is "partial 16S ribosomal RNA". It matches the Rfam family "Bacterial small subunit ribosomal RNA", at positions 28 to 507 of the family's 1533-position model. The record is from RNAcentral.
GAUGAACGCUGGCGGCGUGCCUAAUACAUGCAAGUCGAGCGAACAGACGAGGAGCUUGCUCCUCUGAUGUUAGCGGCGGACGGGUGAGUAACACGUGGAUAACCUACCUAUAAGACUGGGAUAACUUCGGGAAACCGGAGCUAAUACCGGAUAACAUGUUGAACCGCAUGGUUCAACAGUGAAAGACGGUCUUGCUGUCACUUAUAGAUGGAUCCGCGCCGCAUUAGCUAGUUGGUAAGGUAACGGCUUACCAAGGCAACGAUGCGUAGCCGACCUGAGAGGGUGACCGGCCACACUGGAACUGAGACACGGUCCAGACUCCUACGGGAGGCGGCAGUAGGGAAUCUUCCGCAAUGGGCGAAAGCCUGACGGAGCAACGCCGCGUGAGUGAAGAAGGUCUUCGGAUCGUAAAACUCUGUUAUUAGGGAAGAACAAAUGUGUAAGUAACUAUGCACGUCUUGACGGUACCUAAUCAGAAAGCCACGGCUAACUACGUG